This is a long non-coding RNA of Gallus gallus (chicken), 1554 nucleotides long. Lineage: Eukaryota; Metazoa; Chordata; Aves; Galliformes; Phasianidae. The record is from Ensembl.
ACCCUGAAAAGGAAUUAUCUGAAUACGAAUCCCACUGUUCUCCUGGCAGCCCUGCCCUGGCUUUGCAGCAACAAGAGCACCAAGCAGCUCAGCCAUGACACCAACUACACUUUGCCAAAGUGGUAGAAAAAGAGUUAGAGAAGCAAGCAGGAGCAGGCUGUGGACAGCCCACGUCUGCUGCAGCACAAGUGUAAGAAAAGAAUAUGAUUUGGACUACUGUAAGCCUUUCACCAUCUCCCUCAAGGAAACUGCUGAAGAUAAAAUUACAAAUGCAAUACUUUUAUCGCUGGCUCAGAAAAUGCAGAUAAGGCCAAAAAAAUUGAGCAGCAACUGGGUAAGGGGAAAUACAGAGUACAACUUGGACAGGAAUGCAAGAAAAGGAAAAAAAAAAAAUAAAGCAAAACCACAUUAAAGCAUAACAUGGAGAAAAGAAUAACCUGCUUGCAAACAACAGUCUACACAGCGUUUGCUGAUGCCAGCUCAAUUUAUGUAUAAUCAAUAUCCUUCUGUUUAAUUCCUCUGUGUUGAAUUCUGUAUACAGCAUUCACUUUUCUUUAGCUAGAAAACUAUUUGAAUAAUAAAACUUCAUCAUCUUUAAAGGGAAAAACAUUUAGAUUAACAUAUUAAACAUUAAAGAUCCAUGCUGAAAAUGUAAAAUGAAUGCGAGAGCUUCUCCCACUCAGCUGGUGUACAGGAGGUGAGAAGAGCAUCUUGCAUGCUAUGAAAGCAAACCAUAAUCUCCAUAAAUCUCAGGAGCUGGGAAUUUGGGUGAAGAGGCAAAGGUCAACAGAACUAUUUGUAAGGCAGUCCCUAGCUUAAAAAUUUUGAGAAAAAGAAAAUCUGCUUUGGCCUGCUCACAAAGUAGGAAACAUGGUUAAUUUAAAGAGAUCCUUCUAAACAAAAUGCAACAGAACAGAGAUUUCUUCUCUUCAUCUAAUUUGACAGAGUACUGAUGUAAUACAUGCUCUGGUUGAAAGAGGCUGGAGAACUUGGAGUAAAUGCAUAUGAUUCUCUCCAUACUCUUUCUCAUAGAGAAUGAACUUUAAAAAAACAAGUUUUAUGAGCAUGAAACCUCUUGCUCUCAUUCCUGAACAUCAGCAAAGGUUUGCCCCAUUGCAAGUCCAGACAGGGAUGCAAAAAUAGGGAAACAAUAUUUCAGGAUAUCCAUAACCUUACUUACACUGCUAACAGUUUCCAUCUCAGAUUUAUACACUAAUAAAAAGACAGAUUUAAAGAACAAUUAAAUUAAGCAUUGUAGAAGGAAACAAAACUGGCAGGAAAGAAGGAAACUCCAGUGCUGCAAACAACACUACGUAAAACAGCAUUUUGAAGCAUUCUGGAGCUAUUGUCUCAUUUCGUCAUGUGGCCAUGGAAAGCGAAGAGGGAAAAGGACUACACUAACAGUUAUCUGGGGAAGGCAACAUGCUGGAUUUAGUAUGGAGAUGGGGUUCUUGAGCCUCCAUGGUACUGAGUGAAAACAAAAUGACUUUCACAACCACGAGAAUUACCAGAGCAGUGGCUAGUGAGGAGAAAUGGCCCAGCAGCAGCAGGGAG